RNAcentral lists this ribosomal RNA (366 nucleotides) under Listeria monocytogenes. Its description in RNAcentral is "bacterial SSU rRNA". It matches the Rfam family "Bacterial small subunit ribosomal RNA", at positions 1177 to 1533 of the family's 1533-position model. The record is from RNAcentral. Lineage: Bacteria; Bacillati; Bacillota; Bacilli; Caryophanales; Listeriaceae.
GGAUGACGUCAAAUCAUCAUGCCCCUUAUGACCUGGGCUACACACGUGCUACAAUGGAUAGUACAAAGGGUCGCGAAGCCGCGAGGUGGAGCUAAUCCCAUAAAACUAUUCUCAGUUCGGAUUGUAGGCUGCAACUCGCCUACAUGAAGCCGGAAUCGCUAGUAAUCGUGGAUCAGCAUGCCACGGUGAAUACGUUCCCGGGCCUUGUACACACCGCCCGUCACACCACGAGAGUUUGUAACACCCGAAGUCGGUAGGGUAACCUUUAUGGAGCCAGCCGCCGAAGGUGGGACAGAUAAUUGGGGUGAAGUCGUAACAAGGUAGCCGUAUCGGAAGGUGCGGCUGGAUCACCUCCUUUCUAAGGAA